Molecule: transfer RNA, 85 nt
Organism: Felis catus (domestic cat)
Lineage: Eukaryota; Metazoa; Chordata; Mammalia; Carnivora; Felidae
Rfam family: tRNA
About the family: Transfer RNA (tRNA) molecules are approximately 80 nucleotides in length. Their secondary structure includes four short double-helical elements and three loops (D, anti-codon, and T loops). Further hydrogen bonds mediate the characteristic L-shaped molecular structure. tRNAs have two regions of fundamental functional importance: the anti-codon, which is responsible for specific mRNA codon recognition, and the 3' end, to which the tRNAs corresponding amino acid is attached (by aminoacyl-tRNA synthetases). tRNAs cope with the degeneracy of the genetic code in two manners: having more than one tRNA (with a specific anti-codon) for a particular amino acid; and 'wobble' base-pairing, i.e. permitting non-standard base-pairing at the 3rd anti-codon position.
Source: Rfam
GCCUGGGUGGCUCAGUCGGUUAAGCAUCUGACUUCAGCUCAGGUCAUGAUCUCACAGUUUGUGGGUUCGAGUUCCGCAUCAGGCU